UGGACUACCACUGAAAUACUGCCCUAAUUGGCUUCAUACCUCAAUGGAAUAAAGUGCGUUUUGAUGACUGGGAUGAACUGAGUGAAACUGUAAUAGACAGAAAUGGGGCAGACAGUU
Molecule: small nucleolar RNA, 117 nt
Filed under: Octodon degus (degu)
Lineage: Eukaryota; Metazoa; Chordata; Mammalia; Rodentia; Octodontidae
Description: Small Cajal body specific RNA 8 (ENSODEG00000024857.1)
Rfam family: Small Cajal body specific RNA 8
About the family: scaRNAs are a specific class of small nuclear RNAs which localise to the Cajal bodies and guide the modification of RNA polymerase II transcribed spliceosomal RNAs U1, U2, U4, U5 and U12. U92 belong to the H/ACA box class of guide RNAs as it has the predicted hairpin-hinge-hairpin-tail structure, conserved H/ACA-box motifs and is found associated with GAR1.
Source: RNAcentral